AGCGAACGCUGGCGGCAUGCCUAACACAUGCAAGUCGAGCGCUCCCAGCAAUGGGGGAGCGGCGGACGGGUGAGUAACGCGUAGGAACGUAUCCUGAGGUGGGGGAUAACCCUGGGAAACUAGGGCUAAUACCGCAUGAUGGCGAGAGCCCAAAGAUUUAUCGCCUUGGGAGCGGCCUGCGUCUGAUUAGCUUGUUGGUGGGGUAACGCCUACCAAGGCGAUGAUCAGUAGCUGGUCUGAGAGGAUGAUCAGCCACACUGGGACUGAGACACGGCCCAGACUCCUACGGGAGGCAGCAGUGGGGAAUAUUGGACAAUGGGCGAAAGCCUGAUCCAGCAAUGCCGCGUGGAUGAAGAAGGUCUUCGGAUUGUAAAGUCCUUUCGGCGGGACGAUGAUGACGGUACCCGCAGAAGAAGCCCCGGCUAACUUCGUG
RNAcentral lists this ribosomal RNA (433 nucleotides) under uncultured bacterium. RNAcentral describes it as "bacterial SSU rRNA". It matches the Rfam family "Bacterial small subunit ribosomal RNA", at positions 29 to 507 of the family's 1533-position model. The record is from RNAcentral.